UACGUAGGGGGCAAGCGUUGUCCGGAUUUAUUGGGCGUAAAGAGCGUGUAGGCGGCCUGAAAGGUCAGCUGUGAAACUCGAGGCUCAACCUCGAGACGUCGGUUGAAACCAUCUGGCUAGAGUCCGGAAGAGGAGUGUGGAAUUCCCGGUGUAGCGGUGAAAUGCGCAGAUAUCAGGAAGAACACCCGUGGCUAAGGCGGCUCUCUAGUACGGUACUGGACGCUGAGACGCGAAAGCCGUGGGGAGCGAACAGG
RNAcentral lists this ribosomal RNA (254 nucleotides) under uncultured bacterium. RNAcentral describes it as "partial 16S ribosomal RNA". It matches the Rfam family "Bacterial small subunit ribosomal RNA", at positions 524 to 776 of the family's 1533-position model. The record is from RNAcentral.